RNAcentral lists this ribosomal RNA (283 nucleotides) under uncultured Pseudomonas sp. RNAcentral describes it as "partial 16S ribosomal RNA". It matches the Rfam family "Bacterial small subunit ribosomal RNA", at positions 1100 to 1382 of the family's 1533-position model. Lineage: Bacteria; Pseudomonadati; Pseudomonadota; Gammaproteobacteria; Pseudomonadales; Pseudomonadaceae. The record is from RNAcentral.
AACCCUUGUCCUUAGUUACCAGCACGUUAAGGUGGGCACUCUAAGGAGACUGCCGGUGACAAACCGGAGGAAGGUGGGGAUGACGUCAAGUCAUCCAUGGCCCUUACGGCCUGGGCUACACACGUGCUACAAUGGUCGGUACAAAGGGUUGCCAAGCCGCGAGGUGGAGCUAAUCCCAUAAACCGAUCGUAGUCCGGAUCGCAGUCUGCAACUCGACUGCGUGAAGUCGGAAUCGCUAGUAAUCGUGAAUCAGAAUGUCACGGUGAAUACGUUCCCGGGCCUU